AGCGAACGCUGGCGGCAGGCUUAACACAUGCAAGUCGAGCGCUCGUAGCAAUACGAGAGCGGCAGACGGGAGAGUAACACGUGGGAACGUACCCUUCAGUUCGGAACAACCCAGGGAAACUUGGGCUAAUACCGGAUACGUCCGUAAGGAGAAAGAUUUAUCGCUGAAGGAUCGGCCUGCGUCUGAUUAGCUAGUUGGUGAGGUAACGGCUCACCAAGGCGACGAUCAGAGCUGGUCUGAGAGGAUGAUCAGCCUCACUGGGACUGAGACACGGCCCAGACUCUUACGGGAGGCAGCAGUGGGGAAUAUUGGACAAUGGGCGCAAGCCUGAUCCAGCCAUGCCGCGUGGGUGAUGAAGGCCUUAGGGUUGUAAAGCCCUUUCGGCGGGGAAGAUAAUGACGGUACCCGCAGAAGAAGCCCCGGCUAACUUCGUGCCAGCCGCCGCCGUAAG
This 451-nucleotide ribosomal RNA is filed under the name uncultured bacterium. RNAcentral's name for it is "bacterial SSU rRNA". It matches the Rfam family "Bacterial small subunit ribosomal RNA", at positions 29 to 524 of the family's 1533-position model. The record is from RNAcentral.